This 440-nucleotide ribosomal RNA is filed under the name uncultured bacterium. RNAcentral's name for it is "partial 16S ribosomal RNA". It matches the Rfam family "Bacterial small subunit ribosomal RNA", at positions 338 to 795 of the family's 1533-position model. The record is from RNAcentral.
CCUACGGGUGGCAGCAGUGGGGAAUAUUGCACAAUGGGGGAAACCCUGAUGCAGCGACGCCGCGUGAGCGAUGAAGUUUUUCGGUAUGUAAAGCUCUAUCAGCAGGGAAGAAAAUGACGGUACCUGACUACUACGCCCCGGCUAACUCCGUGCCAGCAGCCGCGGUAAUACGGAGGGGGCAAGCGUUAUCCGGAUUUACUGGGUGUAAAGAGAGCGUAGACGGCGGUGCAAGCCAGAUGUGAAAGCCUGGGGCUCAACCCCGGGACUGCAUUUGGAACUGGGAGGCUAGAGUGUCGGAGAGGCAGGCGGAAUUCCUAGUGUAGGGGUGAAAUGCGUAGAUAUUAGGAGGAGCACCAGUGGCGAAGGCGGCCUGCUGGACGAUGACUGACGUUGAGGCUCGAAAGCGUGGGGAGCAAACAGGAUUAGAUACCCGAGUAGUC